UACGGAGGGUGCAAGCGUUGUCCGGAUUUAUUGGGUUUAAAGGGAGCGUAGGCGGUCUUUUAAGUCAGUGGUGAAAUCCUCCAGCUUAACUGGAGAACUGCCAUUGAUACUGAAAGACUUGAGUACAGACGAGGUAGGCGGAAUUGACAGUGUAGCGGUGAAAUGCAUAGAUAUUGUCAAGAACACCGAUUGCGAAGGCAGCUUACUAGACUGUAACUGACGCUGAGGCUCGAAAGUGUGGGGAGCGAACAGG
This 253-nucleotide ribosomal RNA is filed under the name uncultured bacterium. RNAcentral describes it as "partial 16S ribosomal RNA". It matches the Rfam family "Bacterial small subunit ribosomal RNA", at positions 524 to 776 of the family's 1533-position model. The record is from RNAcentral.